UUCGGUGGCGAUGGCGGAGGGGAUACACCCGUUCCCAUUCCGAACACGGAAGUUAAGCCCUCCUGCGCCGAUGGUACUGCACGGGUGACUGUGUGGGAGAGUAGGUCGCCGCCGGUU
RNAcentral lists this ribosomal RNA (117 nucleotides) under Thermoplasmata archaeon. Lineage: Archaea; Methanobacteriati; Thermoplasmatota; Thermoplasmata. The record is from RNAcentral.